RNAcentral lists this ribosomal RNA (668 nucleotides) under Pseudarthrobacter phenanthrenivorans. RNAcentral describes it as "bacterial SSU rRNA". It matches the Rfam family "Bacterial small subunit ribosomal RNA", at positions 93 to 775 of the family's 1533-position model. Lineage: Bacteria; Bacillati; Actinomycetota; Actinomycetes; Micrococcales; Micrococcaceae. The record is from RNAcentral.
UAGUGGCGAACGGGUGAGUAACACGUGAGUAACCUGCCCUUGACUCUGGGAUAAGCCUGGGAAACUGGGUCUAAUACCGGAUAUGACCUUCCAUCGCAUGGUGGUUGGUGGAAAGCUUUUGUGGUUUUGGAUGGACUCGCGGCCUAUCAGCUUGUUGGUGGGGUAAUGGCCUACCAAGGCGACGACGGGUAGCCGGCCUGAGAGGGUGACCGGCCACACUGGGACUGAGACACGGCCCAGACUCCUACGGGAGGCAGCAGUGGGGAAUAUUGCACAAUGGGCGCAAGCCUGAUGCAGCGACGCCGCGUGAGGGAUGACGGCCUUCGGGUUGUAAACCUCUUUCAGUAGGGAAGAAGCGAGAGUGACGGUACCUGCAGAAGAAGCGCCGGCUAACUACGUGCCAGCAGCCGCGGUAAUACGUAGGGCGCAAGCGUUAUCCGGAAUUAUUGGGCGUAAAGAGCUCGUAGGCGGUUUGUCGCGUCUGCCGUGAAAGUCCGGGGCUCAACUCCGGAUCUGCGGUGGGUACGGGCAGACUAGAGUGAUGUAGGGGAGACUGGAAUUCCUGGUGUAGCGGUGAAAUGCGCAGAUAUCAGGAGGAACACCGAUGGCGAAGGCAGGUCUCUGGGCAUUAACUGACGCUGAGGAGCGAAAGCAUGGGGAGCGAACAG